GUGCCAGCAGCCGCGGUAAUACAGAGGUCCCAAGCGUUGUUCGGAUUCAUUGGGCGUAAAGGGUGCGUAGGCGGUGCCGCAAGUCAGAUGUGAAAUCUCGGGGCUUAACCCCGAAACUGCAUUUGAUACUGCGGUGCUCGAGGACUGGAGAGGAGACUGGAAUUCACGGUGUAGCAGUGAAAUGCGUAGAUAUCGUGAGGAAGGCCAGUGGCGAAGGCGAGUCUCUGGACAGUUCCUGACGCUGAGGCACGAAGGCCAGGGGAGCAAACGGGAUUAGAUACCCCCGUAGUCC
This 292-nucleotide ribosomal RNA is filed under the name uncultured bacterium. RNAcentral describes it as "partial 16S ribosomal RNA". It matches the Rfam family "Bacterial small subunit ribosomal RNA", at positions 505 to 796 of the family's 1533-position model. The record is from RNAcentral.